RNAcentral lists this transfer RNA (26 nucleotides) under Alytes maurus. RNAcentral's name for it is "partial tRNA-Ser". The record is from RNAcentral. Lineage: Eukaryota; Metazoa; Chordata; Amphibia; Anura; Alytidae.
CCACAUUACCACUCUGCCACUUUCUU